UAACUACUGGAAACGGUAGCUAAUACCGCAUAACGUCGCAAGACCAAAGUGGGGGACCUUCGGGCCUCAUGCCAUCAGAUGUGCCCAGAUGGGAUUAGCUAGUAGGUGGGGUAACGGCUCACCUAGGCGACGAUCCCUAGCUGGUCUGAGAGGAUGACCAGCCACACUGGAACUGAGACACGGUCCAGACUCCUACGGGAGGCAGCAGUGGGGAAUAUUGCACAAUGGGCGCAAGCCUGAUGCAGCCAUGCCGCGUGUGUGAAGAAGGCCUUCGGGUUGUAAAGCACUUUCAGCGGGGAGGAAGGCG
Molecule: ribosomal RNA, 307 nt
Filed under: Klebsiella pneumoniae
Lineage: Bacteria; Pseudomonadati; Pseudomonadota; Gammaproteobacteria; Enterobacterales; Enterobacteriaceae
Description: bacterial SSU rRNA
Rfam family: Bacterial small subunit ribosomal RNA
Source: RNAcentral